This 497-nucleotide ribosomal RNA is filed under the name uncultured bacterium. RNAcentral describes it as "partial 16S ribosomal RNA". It matches the Rfam family "Bacterial small subunit ribosomal RNA", at positions 28 to 507 of the family's 1533-position model. The record is from RNAcentral.
GAUGAACGCUGGCGGCGUGCCUAAUACAUGCAAGUCGAGCGAACGGACGAGAAGCUUGCUUCUCUGAUGUUAGCGGCGGACGGGUGAGUAACACGUGGAUAACCUACCUAUAAGACUGGGAUAACUUCGGGAAACCGGAGCUAAUACCGGAUAAUAUUUUGAACCGCAUGGUUCAAAAGUGAAAGACGGUCUUGCUGUCACUUAUAGAUGGAUCCGCGCUGCAUUAGCUAGUUGGUAAGGUAACGGCUUACCAAGGCAACGAUGCAUAGCCGACCUGAGAGGGUGAUCGGCCACACUGGAACUGAGACACGGUCCAGACUCCUACGGGAGGCAGCAGUAGGGAAUCUUCCGCAAUGCGCGAAAGCCUGACGGAGCAACGCCGCGUGAGUGAUGAAGGUCUUCGGAUCGUAAAACUCUGUUAUUAGGGAAGAACAUAUGUGUAAGUAACUGUGCACAUCUUGACGGUACCUAAUCAGAAAGCCACGGCUAACUACGUG